GAUGAACGCUGGCGGCGUGCUUAACACAUGCAAGUCGAACGGAAAGGCCCAAGCUUGCUUGGGUACUCGAGUGGCGAACGGGUGAGUAACACGUGGGUGAUCUGCCCUGCACUUCGGGAUAAGCCUGGGAAACUGGGUCUAAUACCGGAUAGGACGAUGGUUUGGAUGCCAUUGUGGAAAGUUUUUUCGGUGUGGGGUGAGCUCGCGGCGUAUCAGCUUGUGGGUGGGGUAAUGGCCUACCAAGGCGUCGACGGGUAGCCGGCCUGAGAGGGUGUACGGCCACAUUGGGAGUGAGAUACGGCCCAGACUCCUACGGGAGGCAGCAGUGGGGAAUAUUGCACAAUGGGCGCAAGCCUGAUGCAGCGAAGCCGCGUGGGGGAUGACGGCCUUCGGGUUGUAAACUCCUUUCGCUAGGGACGAAGCGUUUUUGUGACGGUACCUGGAGAAGAAGCACCGGCUAACUACGUG
RNAcentral lists this ribosomal RNA (468 nucleotides) under uncultured bacterium. RNAcentral describes it as "partial 16S ribosomal RNA". It matches the Rfam family "Bacterial small subunit ribosomal RNA", at positions 28 to 507 of the family's 1533-position model. The record is from RNAcentral.